AAUUUCUAUUACAAAGAAUAAAAAAAAAGAACAUUUGAGUACAACGGACCAGCGACUUGUUGACCGGCGUAGACACCGCGGUAGACAGUGCCGUAAGUGCCGCGAGCGAGGACGUGAUUCAUAUCGAGUUUGGAGAGGUCGAUCUCCCAUUCCUGCAUCGGAGUCUUCCUUGUAGCGGAGGAGGAGCCUUGACCCAUAUGCAAAUCCCAUUUGCUGAAAUCAACAGUAUCUGCCCUGAAGUAUUGACCUCCUCCUCCUCCUACUGCUCCAGCGCUCCUGCUCCCGACUCCCCCUAAUUUGGAGUCGGAUCCGAUUUCCACCGCCUCUCCGCCUCCGGACGCCAUUUAUUUCUCUCUGGCGACUAGGAGACCAGCAGAUGAUCAAUCGAAAAGGGAGGGAGGGAGGGAGUUGUGGAGCAAGGCUAGGGUUUUCGAAUUCACGAGUAAUAUAUGUUAUGUGGUGGAGAGGCACAAGACAAGUUCCCAAGGGACAAGAAGCCACGAGACUUUAGAAAUAAGAAGAAGAAAUAGAUUGAUUGUGAUCUCCACACACAACGCAAAGAAGAAGAAGAAGAAGAAGACAAACUCUCAACAAUUUGACCAAAUCAUUUCUCUCUCUCUCUCUUUUUUUACUGUUUCACCGCCCAAGUCUCACUCUCCCUCUCUCUGGGUCCAGAAAAUUGAUUAUUCCUUUCCCCUCUCUCUCCCGCCCAUUAUUAUAUUAGUUUUUAGAUAAAACUUUAAAACUGAUAUAGAUACGUACGUGUCUUUCUUUGUUUUGAUUCUCCUUUUUCUUUGGACACAGCCAAGCCUCCCUCCUCCAACUCUGAGAAACUUUCCUUUUAUUAACACACAACACAACAUGUACACUACUACUAUGUUUUCUUCUCCUUUCCAAACCUAAUUUUGACUUUUCAUCAAAUAGACAGGCGCAGCAGUGAACCCACCCUCCAACGAUUCCUACAACUUGAAGCAACGCACGCCUCUUUCUGCUCCUAAUUAUGAUCAUAUGACCUCCAUUUAUUUAAUUUUUUUUCUUUCUACUUUCAUCUCGAGUCAUUUUCUGGUGAAUUAACAUCCCUACUUGCAAUAUAAAUAUCUUCCACAGAUAGAAACUAACAACGUUUUUGUUUUUUUUACGCUAACCCACCAAAGGGUCCACUCUUUCAGCAACAGCACCAUCUCACGCCUCUCUUUGAUAUUACGUAACUUACUUUCUGUUAAUUAUAUAUUUAUAUACUAUAGUUUUUCUCCAUCAUGUGAAUAUGUUUUGGAAUCUUCGUCCGUCGUUGUUAUUUGGGAGCACAAAGCACCAAAACACAUCCACCACAGCAUAUACCUUUUCUAUUAUUUUUUGAAUCACCUUAUUAAUGGAACCCAACUACACAUUUGCAAAAUAAACGCUUCUGUUUUGAUUAUUUUUUGAAUCGUCUUUUUUUUUUGAAGUUACAAAAUUUCAUAAAUUUUCUGCCCCUAGAUAUUUUUUUGGGCUAUUACUUUACUGAUGCUGCAUUGUUCAGUGGACUUGAUAGGAUGGGCUUUCUUUUUUUUUUUUUGUAUUAUUAUCAGAUAAGAGAUGAUCCACAUUCCCUCAUAAAAUAAAAAGAAAAAAAACAAACAGAGCUUUAUCAUCAGUUUUUAUACACAACAGGACUGUGUGUAAAUACAUAUAUAUAGAGAGAGAGAGAGAGCAGAGAGAUUCUUAUGACAAAGACCCACACCACUCUAACUCCAAUGUCUCAACCACAAAAAUUCAACAAAAAAAAAAUCACGCAGCUCUCAAGCAUAUCAGCCAAGGGAGAGAGAUCAGGGGCCACGAGGUUUGAAGAAACAGAGGCACCCCUGAAACUUGUCUGGUGGUAUCAUUCCCCCUCCUUUGCUUGUGUCUACUGCCUCUAGUAGCUUCACUACCUCCUCCAUCUCCGGACGCCUGUCUGGAUUCGGGUCCCAGCAUCUCUUCAUUAUGUUUGCCACCGACUGUGGGCAGCAUUUCGGAAUCUCUGGUCUCAGAUUCUGUGAUCAACCAAGCAAGAGAGAGAGGAUCACAUUUUCUGAUUAAAAACCCUUUAAUAGGAGAGACUGUAAAGAGAGAGAGACCUUAUGAACAACGGCAUGAGAGAUCUCAGCAAAACUAGUGUCAGCGUAGGGCAUGUCGCAGCAGUAUAUUUCCCAGAGGCAUACACCAAAACUAUACACAUCGCAUUUCCUGUUGUAAGCCUUUCCUUCCAGAACCUAUCCACCACCCCCAAAAACUUACGAUAUUUAUUUUCACAAUUACGAAACACAAAAAGGAUGUAAUAAUACAAAAAAUACCUCAGGUCCCAUGUAUCCAAGAGUUCCAGUUUCACCAGUCAUGUCUUGAGGGUUCUGAGCUUCGACUCUAGCGACUCCGAAAUCAGCAAUCUUGAGCGUCUUGUUAGUUUCCAGCAACAUGUUCUCUGACUUCACGUCCCGAUGCACAAUCGCCUUGGAGUGGAGGUAACUCAGCCUAAGACAGAAAAAAGAUAGGCGUCUUGUUAUCAAAUAAAAGGAUGCAAUCUCUCAUAUAUAUACUAUAUAAUCCCAAAAUCAGGGAAUAGAAAAAAAGGCAGAGAGUGGUUAGUUACCCUCUAGCGAGAUCCAAAGCAAGUUGAAUGACAUCCUUGAUGGGGAGUUUGCUCCUAUAUUUCUUGAUGAGGAACUUCUUGAGGGUGCCUCCAGCGACAUACUCAACGACAACACAACAGGCCUUGGCAGGAUGUGCUCCACCAGAAUCACUACCAGAAGGGAUCUUCAGAUCAGAGGUCCCCAUGGAUGCUCCUAUAAACUGCAAAGGAAAUUUUGAAAUUAAAGUCAAAGCUUGUUCUACUACUAGUACUAAUGGUUGUGAAAGUCUCGAGUAGCAACCUUGGUAACGUUGGGAUGAUCGAGUUUCUGCCAGACGGCUACCUCUUGCUCGAAGGAAAUGCGCAGAUCAUCUGCUGUUGAGAGACCAUCUUCUCCCCAAUCUAACACCUUCACUGGUCACACACGAAAUGAAAUGAAAUGAAAUCGUAUCAAUUUCUAUUACAAAGAAUAAAAAAAAAGAACAUUUGAGUACAACGGACCAGCGACUUGUUGACCGGCGUAGACACCGCGGUAGACAGUGCCGUAAGUGCCGCGAGCGAGGACGUGAUUCAUAUCGAGUUUGGAGAGGUCGAUCUCCCAUUCCUGCAUCGGAGUCUUCCUUGUAGCGGAGGAGGAGCCUUGACCCAUAUGCAAAUCCCAUUUGCUGAAAUCAACAGUAUCUGCCCUGAAGUAUUGACCUCCUCCUCCUCCUACUGCUCCAGCGCUCCUGCUCCCGA
This 3322-nucleotide long non-coding RNA is filed under the name Brassica napus (rape). RNAcentral describes it as "long non-coding RNA (BNAP_LNC003219)". The record is from RNAcentral. Lineage: Eukaryota; Viridiplantae; Streptophyta; Magnoliopsida; Brassicales; Brassicaceae.